GAUGAACGCUGGCGGCGUGCCUAAUACAUGCAAGUCGAGCGAACAGACGAGGAGCUUGCUCCUCUGACGUUAGCGGCGGACGGGUGAGUAACACGUGGAUAACCUACCUAUAAGACUGGGAUAACUUCGGGAAACCGGAGCUAAUACCGGAUAAUAUAUUGAACCGCAUGGUUCAAUAGUGAAAGACGGUUUUGCUGUCACUUAUAGAUGGAUCCGCGCCGCAUUAGCUAGUUGGUAAGGUAACGGCUUACCAAGGCAACGAUGCGUAGCCGACCUGAGAGGGUGAUCGGCCACACUGGAACGUAGACACGGUCCAGGCUCCUACGGGAGGCAGCAGUAGGGAAUCUUCCGCAAUGGGCGAAAGCCUGACGGAGCAACGCCGCGUGAGUGAUGAAGGUCUUCGGAUCGUAAAACUCUGUUAUUAGUGAAGAACAAAUGUGUAAGUAACUAUGCACGUCUUGACGGUACCUAAUCAGAAAGCCACGGCUAACUACGUG
Molecule: ribosomal RNA, 497 nt
Filed under: uncultured bacterium
Lineage: Bacteria
Description: partial 16S ribosomal RNA
Rfam family: Bacterial small subunit ribosomal RNA
Source: RNAcentral